AGCGAACGCUGGCGGCAGGCCUAACACAUGCAAGUCGAACGGAUCCUUCGGGAUUAGUGGCGGACGGGUGAGUAACACGUGGGAACAUGCCCUUUGGUUCGGAACAACACAGGGAAACUUGAGCUAAUACCGGAUGUGCCCUUCGGGGGAAAGAUUUAUCGCCAUUGGAGCGGCCCGCGUCUGAUUAGCUAGUUGGUGGGGUAAAGGCCCACCAAGGCGACGAUCAGUAGCUGGUCUGAGAGGAUGAUCAGCCACAUUGGGACUGAGACACGGCCCAAACUCCUACGGGAGGCAGCAGUGGGGAAUCUUGCGCAAUGGGCGAAAGCCUGACGCAGCCAUGCCGCGUGAAUGAUGAAGGUCUUAGGAUUGUAAAAUUCUUUCACCGGGGACGAUAAUGACGGUACCCGGAGAAGAAGCCCCGGCUAACUUCGUGCCAGCCGCCGCCGUAA
RNAcentral lists this ribosomal RNA (449 nucleotides) under uncultured bacterium. RNAcentral's name for it is "partial 16S ribosomal RNA". It matches the Rfam family "Bacterial small subunit ribosomal RNA", at positions 29 to 523 of the family's 1533-position model. The record is from RNAcentral.